UUUAAAUUCCUAAUAAUAUUUUGAAAGAUACGGCGUGAACAUUUAUAAAAAAAAUGAAAAAUAAAUUUGAUAACACAAAGAAUUACAGGUGCCAAAAUUCAAAAAUAAAAAAUAGAUGGAUUAAAAAUAAAAAAUCAUAUAUUUAUAAAGCUUAAAAAUGAUAUAUAGUUAUUAUAUUUUUUAUGCUUGUAAUUGGAUCAAU
RNAcentral lists this long non-coding RNA (202 nucleotides) under Lathyrus oleraceus (garden pea). Its description in RNAcentral is "Pisum sativum (pea) long non-coding RNA (PSAT_LNC023606)". The record is from RNAcentral. Lineage: Eukaryota; Viridiplantae; Streptophyta; Magnoliopsida; Fabales; Fabaceae.